Molecule: ribosomal RNA, 305 nt
Filed under: uncultured bacterium
Lineage: Bacteria
Description: bacterial SSU rRNA
Rfam family: Bacterial small subunit ribosomal RNA
Source: RNAcentral
UGGACCUACGGGGGGCAGCAGUGAGGAAUAUUGGUCAAUGGGCGAGAGCCUGAACCAGCCAAGUCGCGUGAGGGAAGACGGUCCUAUGGAUUGUAAACCUCUUUUGCCGGGGAGCAAAAAGCGGUACGUGUACCGCAUCGAGAGUACCCGGAGAAAAAGCAUCGGCUAACUCCGUGCCAGCAGCCGCGGUAAUACGGAGGAUGCGAGCGUUAUCCGGAUUUAUUGGGUUUAAAGGGUGCGCAGGCGGCGAGUUAAGUCAGCGGUAAAAUUUCGGGGCUCAACCUCGCUCCGCCGUUGAAACUGGG